AUCGAAACUACUAGGGAUAAUUACCUAUAUACCCCUCAUACGUUUGAAAAUAUUCGAUUUAUUCCUCCUCUUUUUUUUUUUUUCUUUCUAAAAUACCCUUUAUAUGUUCUAUCGUUAUUGCAAAAUACCCCCGCAGUUAUUUCCUUUUAAGUUAACUUGGGUUAAAUGUAAGUUAAAUAUCUACCACAGUUAAAAAAAAUUAAAAUACCAAUUUUGUCCUUAACUCAAGGGCAAAUAAGAAAUGUUGGUGACGGUAGAGGAGUAUACUGGAAAAGAUCAAAAGUCAAAAUACCUUUUGUGCCCCUGACUUUAAGGGCAAAUAAGAAAGUCAAUGAUGAUGGAAGAGUAUAUUAAUUUGAAAGGGCAAAAUAGUAAUUUGACAGAGAUAACAGAGUUAAUUAACCAAACACAAUUAUCCUGUGUAGUCCUGCCAGGAUAACUCGAAUCAAAUGCACCCUUAGGGGUAUAUUAAAAAUAGAUUGGAACGUAGAAAGGAUAUUUUCAAUAUUAGCCUUCUAAGAAGGGUAAAUCGGAAAGUCGGAAAUUUUUCAGGAAUAUAUAAGCAAUUGCCCCAAACUACUCCUGCUAACAACUGCCGAAACUACUACUACUACCUUC
This 618-nucleotide long non-coding RNA is filed under the name Ananas comosus (pineapple). Its description in RNAcentral is "long non-coding RNA (ACOM_LNC026336)". The record is from RNAcentral. Lineage: Eukaryota; Viridiplantae; Streptophyta; Magnoliopsida; Poales; Bromeliaceae.